CCUUAGACGAAUUCAGCCCCAAGAAUAACAUGUGGUCACCAAAACUCAUGACUUCCGCCCACUUGUACAUGUAACCAUCAUUAUUUUCGGUGUCGACAAGUGUGAAGACCUUGAAGAAUGGCUCUCGGUUGGGCAACCAAAAGUGUUGUAUCGCCAUAGAUGGCUUGCCGUGUAGCUCGAUGAGGUGGCCGUGGCACGUUGUUUCGAUACUGUGGCGCCUUUGGACGGCCAACGAGUGGGUUGAUGCGAUGACCGGCGUACCAUCUGACUUCAUGUCAAUUUUAAACUUGAUCAGCUCCUCGUCAGGAUAGACAAAAGCAUAGAGCUCACCUUUGCAGAAUGCGAUGCCUAUAAUGAACUUUUCGUCUAAAUUUCUUACGGUCCACCCGGU
Molecule: long non-coding RNA, 391 nt
Filed under: Hordeum vulgare
Lineage: Eukaryota; Viridiplantae; Streptophyta; Magnoliopsida; Poales; Poaceae
Description: long non-coding RNA (HVUL_LNC005452)
Source: RNAcentral